GGCCAAAAAUAAAGAUAGAAAUAAUUAAAUAAAUAAAUGGCAUGUUUCUACUCAUAGAGAAUAUGUGUGUGUAGUUGCAUUUCUGUGAGUCGAGCGUGAUGUAUACUUGCAGUUACUAGUACGAACACUGAGUGCCGGGGAUCAGGCAAUAAGAUUCACCAUGUAUCAACCAUCAAUCGGCUUAUCCAUCGUAAUUUAUUGUCUUAAACUGUGCCGUGUAAAACAAUUUAUCUACCACCAUCCCUCCAUCUAUAUUAUGGAACGUGCUUCUUAUUAAAAAAAAAAAAAAAAGAAAAGAAAAGAAAUCACCCAUAUUGGUGGGGAUCUUGAUGGCAUUCUAGUUGACUUAUCAUGGGCAACCUUGGAAGGUUGAAUAUUGGACACGUGACUUAGAAAGAUGGCGGCUCGGCCAAGAAGAGCAGCAACGCCACUGAAAUCUCGGCCAGAAACCCCCUCAGUGAGGUCUAAACAACUAAGAUCGCAGAACUCUUCAUUAGAGCUAUUAUUUUCUUUCUAUCGAGGGUUUUCAGACUUGCCAUCUUUGAACCCGUGAUAUAUAUGGGUGUAUUUUAGAUGGGUGGUUUGUGGGUCCAACUUUUGCAAACGGGAGCCCCAUGUUACUUUUGAAAACCAGGAC
Molecule: small RNA, 637 nt
Filed under: Histoplasma capsulatum
Lineage: Eukaryota; Fungi; Ascomycota; Eurotiomycetes; Onygenales; Ajellomycetaceae
Also listed under: 1 other name
Description: hypothetical RNA
Source: RNAcentral